RNAcentral lists this signal recognition particle RNA (295 nucleotides) under Vombatus ursinus (common wombat). Its description in RNAcentral is "Metazoan signal recognition particle RNA (ENSVURG00010018061.1)". It matches the Rfam family "Metazoan signal recognition particle RNA". Rfam says of the family: The signal recognition particle (SRP) is a universally conserved ribonucleoprotein. Lineage: Eukaryota; Metazoa; Chordata; Mammalia; Diprotodontia; Vombatidae. The record is from Rfam by way of RNAcentral.
UGGCAUGGUGGUACAUGCUUGUAAUUCCUGCUCCCAAGGAAACUGAGGCUGUACACUGCUUGAGCUCAGGAGGGAAUUCUGGCCUGCAGCAGACUAACAUGGUAUCUGCACAAAGUCUGGCACCAACACAGUGAGUCCCCAGAAACAAGGGGACACCAGGAUGACUAAAGAGAGGUGAAGCGGCCCAAGCUGGAAAAAUAGGUGGUCAAAGUUUCUGUGCCAAGCAGUAGUGAGAUCAGGCCCAAGAGUGGCCACUGUAGUUCAGCCUGAGCAAGAUAGGAGAAUAGGGACCCAU